UACGGAGGGGACUAGCGUUGUUCGGAAUUACUGGGCGUAAAGCGCACGUAGGCGGAUUUGUAAGUCAGGGGUGAAAUCCCGGGGCUCAACCCCGGAACUGCCUUUGAUACUGCGAAUCUCGAGUCCGGAAGAGGUGAGUGGAAUUCCUAGUGUAGAGGUGAAAUUCGUAGAUAUUCGCAAGAACACCAGUGGCGAAGGCGGCGCACUGGCCCGAUACUGACGCUGAGGUGCGAAAGCGUGGGGAGCAAACAGG
This 253-nucleotide ribosomal RNA is filed under the name uncultured bacterium. RNAcentral describes it as "partial 16S ribosomal RNA". It matches the Rfam family "Bacterial small subunit ribosomal RNA", at positions 524 to 776 of the family's 1533-position model. The record is from RNAcentral.